This 487-nucleotide ribosomal RNA is filed under the name Pseudomonas sp. BF.126. Its description in RNAcentral is "bacterial SSU rRNA". It matches the Rfam family "Bacterial small subunit ribosomal RNA", at positions 20 to 500 of the family's 1533-position model. Lineage: Bacteria; Pseudomonadati; Pseudomonadota; Gammaproteobacteria; Pseudomonadales; Pseudomonadaceae. The record is from RNAcentral.
UGGCUCAGAUUGAACGCUGGCGGCAGGCCUAACACAUGCAAGUCGAGCGGCAGCACGGGUACUUGUACCUGGUGGCGAGCGGCGGACGGGUGAGUAAUGCCUAGGAAUCUGCCUGGUAGUGGGGGAUAACGCUCGGAAACGGACGCUAAUACCGCAUACGUCCUACGGGAGAAAGCAGGGGACCUUCGGGCCUUGCGCUAUCAGAUGAGCCUAGGUCGGAUUAGCUAGUUGGUGAGGUAAUGGCUCACCAAGGCGACGAUCCGUAACUGGUCUGAGAGGAUGAUCAGUCACACUGGAACUGAGACACGGUCCAGACUCCUACGGGAGGCAGCAGUGGGGAAUAUUGGACAAUGGGCGAAAGCCUGAUCCAGCCAUGCCGCGUGUGUGAAGAAGGUCUUCGGAUUGUAAAGCACUUUAAGUUGGGAGGAAGGGCAGUUACCUAAUACGUAUCUGUUUUGACGUUACCGACAGAAUAAGCACCGCCUAA